GACAGAGGGUGCGAACGUUGUUCGGAAUUACUGGGCGUAAAGCGCAUGUAGGCGGCCGCGCAAGUCGGGCGUGAAAUCCCACGGCUCAACCGUGGAAGUGCACUCGAAACUGCGCAGCUAGAGUCCUGGAGAGGAAGGUGGAAUGCUUGGUGUAGAGGUGAAAUUCGUAGAUAUCAAGCGGAACACCGGUGGCGAAGGCGGCCUUCUGGACAGUGACUGACGCUGAGAUGCGAAAGCGUGGGGAGCAAACAGG
This 253-nucleotide ribosomal RNA is filed under the name uncultured bacterium. RNAcentral describes it as "partial 16S ribosomal RNA". It matches the Rfam family "Bacterial small subunit ribosomal RNA", at positions 524 to 776 of the family's 1533-position model. The record is from RNAcentral.